GAGGGUACGUAAUUUUGAGUUCAAAGAAUGAACAUCUAUUUGUUUGGGAACAGUCUGUAGAAGUAUGAGGGCCGACUCCCUAAGUAACGGGUAAGUUGUGUAAAGGAGGAUACAAACCAUAAUCAAACAAAGAACAGGAUCUAAAUAUAGUAACCAGCAUGGACCAGCCACCGUAAUGCUCUCUUGCUCAGACUUGUUUGCACUGCCAAGAGGUUGGGAUAAAGUAGCAUUCUCCACGCAAUGGCUAUUGACACAUGGAUUAAAGCAGGGCCCAUCUUUGGGGCAUGGAUUCCACAAACCAUAAAAAAGCAAGGCAUUCACUACGACAAUUACUGAACCUAAGGCAUCUCCAAAAACAUGCAGAAAAACUCCACGCAUGUUAAGCUGCGCGCUAGAGUCUUCCUCAACUUCUUCAACAUCCAGAGGAUAAUGCCCAGCGUUCCCAUUCACUUGUAGGUCCGUCGUGUCGUCCUUCAUAUCACCCAGCUUCUCUUGGCUGACCCCGUUGGAGCUGCUGCAGUUCUCCACCAAGGUGCUGGUCUCCUCGCGGUGCAGCGCGGCCUCCCCGUCCCCGGGGGUUUGUUCGGCCUUACCGCCGCCCCGGGGGAGCCGGGCGCCGCCCCCGUGCGCGUGCCCGUGCCCGUGGGAAUGGCCGUGUCCGCCGACGCCGUGGUGGUUGAAGAGGCAGAGCCCCAGCAGGUUGAUGACGAGCCCCGCCACCCCCACGGCGAUGACCACCAGCGGCUGCUGGAUCUCGUGGGGCUCGGUGAAGCGCUCGAUGGCCUCCAGCAGGAUGGUGAAGCAGAGGGCGGUGAGGAAGACGGCGUUGACCAGGGCGCCCAUCACCUCGGCGCGCA
This 857-nucleotide long non-coding RNA is filed under the name Gallus gallus (chicken). Lineage: Eukaryota; Metazoa; Chordata; Aves; Galliformes; Phasianidae. The record is from RNAcentral.